This 165-nucleotide ribosomal RNA is filed under the name uncultured bacterium. RNAcentral's name for it is "partial 16S ribosomal RNA". It matches the Rfam family "Bacterial small subunit ribosomal RNA", at positions 1334 to 1500 of the family's 1533-position model. The record is from RNAcentral.
GCUAGUAAUCGCGGAUCAGCAUGCCGCGGUGAAUACGUUCUCGGGCCUUGUACACACCGCCCGUCACACCAUGGGAGUCGGUAACACCCGAAGUCUGUAGCCUGACGCAAGAGGGCGCAGCCGAAGGUGGGAUUGAUGACUGGGGUGAAGUCGUAACAAGGUAUC